GCAAGUCGAACGGCGGCACGGGUGCUUGCACCUGGUGGCGCGGGCGAACGGGUGAGUAAUACAUCGGAACGUACCUUAUCGUGGGGGAUAACGCAGCGAAAGCUGUGCUCAUACCGCAUACGCUCUGUGGGGGCAAGCGGGGGAUCGAAAGACCUCGCGCGAUUAGAGCGGCCGAUGCCUGAUUAGCUUGUUGGUGGAGUAAAAGCCCACAAAGGCGACGAUCAGUAGCUGGUCUGAGAGGACGAUC
RNAcentral lists this ribosomal RNA (247 nucleotides) under uncultured bacterium. RNAcentral describes it as "partial 16S ribosomal RNA". It matches the Rfam family "Bacterial small subunit ribosomal RNA", at positions 57 to 305 of the family's 1533-position model. The record is from RNAcentral.